Molecule: ribosomal RNA, 520 nt
Filed under: uncultured bacterium
Lineage: Bacteria
Description: bacterial SSU rRNA
Rfam family: Archaeal small subunit ribosomal RNA
Source: RNAcentral
AACCUCCGCAAUGUGAGAAAUCGCGACGGGGGGAUCCCAAGUGCCAUUCUUAACGGGAUGGCUUUUCAUUAGUGUAAAGAGCUUUUGGAAUAAGAGCUGGGCAAGACCGGUGCCAGCCGCCGCGGUAACACCGGCAGCUCUAGUGGUAACAAUUUUUAUUGGGCCUAAAGCGUCCGUAGCCGGUUUAAUAAGUCUCUGGUGAAAUCCUGUAGCUUAACUGUGGGAAUUGCUGGAGAUACUAUUAGACUUGAGACCGGGAGAGGUUAGAGGUACUCCCAGGGUAGAGGUGAAAUUCUGUAAUCCUGGGAGGACCGCCUGUUGCGAAGGCGUCUAACUGGAACGGUUCUGACGGUGAGGGACGAAAGUUAGGGCGCGAACCGGAUUAGAUACCCGGGUAGUCCUAACUGUAAACGAUGCGGACUUGGUGUUGGGGUUGUUUUGAGCUGCUCCAGUGCCGAAGGGAAGCUGUUAAGUCCGCCGCCUCGGAGGUACGGUCGCAAGACUGAAACUUAAAAGAGUU